UAUUAGUGUCGAAUCGAAAAUGGGGCGUGGCCAAGCGGUAAGGCAACGGGUUUUGAUCCCGCUAUUCGGAGGUUCGAAUCCUUCCGUCCCAGAGCAUAUUCAGUCAUGAUGGCUAUCCUAUUUGAAUCCAAAUUGUUGAAUACAAAUUGUAUAUCAGAAUAAAGAUUAGCCCUUUUUAUUUUAUUGUUUUUAUUGUAAUCACGGUGGAUAAUUGUAUAAUAUAAAAAAAUUUAUUUUAUUUAUUUUAUAAUAUAUUAAUAAAAAUCUAUUUCUUAUUAUUAUAUAUAUAUAUAUAUUUUUCUCUUUUUAAAUAAAUGAAUUUUGACUAUUUGACAAACUAUCCAAAUAGAAUAGAAAAUCUAUUCAUACAAUAACAAUAUCGAAUUAAUUUUAUAUUUUGUGACUUCGUGUUAUGUUAUUACUUUAGAAAUUGCCCAUUCAUAUCGAAGGAAAACUUAGAAGUAAAAAGGAUAGAUUAUUAUGUAUCGAUUAAAUCAAUGCUAUUCACGAUUUCAUAAUUGAUAAUUGAAUGAAUCAAUUAGAUACCCUAAAAGAAUGUUAUGGUAAAACUUCGUUUAAAACGAUGCGAUGUGGUAAAAAAAAAAAGCAACGUGCGGCUUGAAAGACAUGAUUAGAUUAGCUGUGGAUUCUUACAUCCGCUAUUUUUUUUUUUAUAGGAUAUAGAAAUUGGGGUGCUCUUGGCUCGACAUUAUUUGUUCUGUUCCACUGGAACUCGUUGUUUGGGGAACGGGAGAGGGAUUGAUGAUGUAAAUAGUACAUGAUGGAGCUCGAGUUGAUUCAUUUAUCAGGGGCAAGUAGCUAAGGUUAGUGAAGAUUAAUAAGUUAGAACAACUUCGUAAGUAUAUUUUUGAGAGAGAAAUCGAAAGGAUCCUAAUAUCGAAAAUAUCG
This is a non-coding RNA of Lupinus albus (white lupine), 909 nucleotides long. NCBI's taxonomy places the organism in Eukaryota, Viridiplantae, Streptophyta, Magnoliopsida, Fabales, Fabaceae. The record is from the annotation of a GenBank genome assembly.